This 24-nucleotide small RNA is filed under the name Arabidopsis thaliana (thale cress). RNAcentral's name for it is "ATSL228030". The record is from RNAcentral. Lineage: Eukaryota; Viridiplantae; Streptophyta; Magnoliopsida; Brassicales; Brassicaceae.
CGCAUUGAUCCAUUCGUACUAGGC